This 941-nucleotide ribosomal RNA is filed under the name uncultured bacterium. Its description in RNAcentral is "bacterial SSU rRNA". It matches the Rfam family "Bacterial small subunit ribosomal RNA", at positions 1 to 932 of the family's 1533-position model. The record is from RNAcentral.
GAAUUCGCCCUUAGAGUUUGAUCCUGGCUCAGAUUGAACGCUGGCGGCAGGCCUAACACAUGCAAGUCGAGCGGUAGAGAGAAGCUUGCUUCUCUUGAGAGCGGCGGACGGGUGAGUAAUGCCUAGGAAUCUGCCUGGUAGUGGGGGAUAACGUUCGGAAACGGACGCUAAUACCGCAUACGUCCUACGGGAGAAAGCAGGGGACCUUCGGGCCUUGCGCUAUCAGAUGAGCCUAGGUCGGAUUAGCUAGUUGGUGAGGUAAUGGCUCACCAAGGCGACGAUCCGUAACUGGUCUGAGAGGAUGAUCAGUCACACUGGAACUGAGACACGGUCCAGACUCCUACGGGAGGCAGCAGUGGGGAAUAUUGGACAAUGGGCGAAAGCCUGAUCCAGCCAUGCCGCGUGUGUGAAGAAGGUCUUCGGAUUGUAAAGCACUUUAAGUUGGGAGGAAGGGCAGUUGCCUAAUACGUAACUGUUUUGACGUUACCGACAGAAUAAGCACCGGCUAACUCUGUGCCAGCAGCCGCGGUAAUACAGAGGGUGCAAGCGUUAAUCGGAAUUACUGGGCGUAAAGCGCGCGUAGGUGGUUUGUUAAGUUGGAUGUGAAAUCCCCGGGCUCAACCUGGGAACUGCAUUCAAAACUGACUGACUAGAGUAUGGUAGAGGGUGGUGGAAUUUCCUGUGUAGCGGUGAAAUGCGUAGAUAUAGGAAGGAACACCAGUGGCGAAGGCGACCACCUGGACUGAUACUGACACUGAGGUGCGAAAGCGUGGGGAGCAAACAGGAUUAGAUACCCUGGUAGUCCACGCCGUAAACGAUGUCAACUAGCCGUUGGAAGCCUUGAGCUUUUAGUGGCGCAGCUAACGCAUUAAGUUGACCGCCUGGGGAGUACGGCCGCAAGGUUAAAACUCAAAGGAAUUGACGGGGGCAAGGGCGAAUUC